RNAcentral lists this ribosomal RNA (465 nucleotides) under uncultured bacterium. RNAcentral's name for it is "partial 16S ribosomal RNA". It matches the Rfam family "Bacterial small subunit ribosomal RNA", at positions 338 to 795 of the family's 1533-position model. The record is from RNAcentral.
CCUACGGGUGGCAGCAGUAGGGAAUUUUGCGCAAUGAGCGCAAGCCUGAUGCAGCGAUUCCGCGUGUGGGAUGACGGCCCUCGGGUUGUAAACCACUGUAGUAGGGAACGAAAAGGAGCUAUCGGAUAAGUAUCUCUGCUGACGGUACUCUAAGAAUAAGCAACGGCUAACUAUGUGCCAGCAGCCGCGGUAAUACGUAGGGUGCCAGCGUUAAUCGGAAUUAUUGGGCGUAAAGGGUGUGCAGGCGGCUGAGUAAGACAGAUGUGAAAUCCCCGGGCUUAACCUGGGAACCGCAUAUGUGACUGGGUGGCUAGAGUGAGACAGAGGGAAGUGGAAUUCCAAGUGAAGCAGUGGAAUGCGUAGAUAUGAGGAAGAACACCGACGGCGAAGGCAGCCUCCUGGGACGACACUGACGCUCAUACACGAAAGCGUGGGGAGCAAACAGGAUUAGAUACCCUAGUAGUC